UGAGAAGCGCUGUUCUAAGUAUUUCUUUUAGCAGCCUCUGUCCCUCUGGCUGAGCCCUUGCCCAGAGUGGAGAGUGUUUCUGUCCACUCCGUAGCUCUUGAGCAGAAGGCGGUGGGGCUGUAUCAGAAGGGAGUAUCUGCUGCUGGCCUCAGUCUCCUUGAAAUCAUGUCUGCAUCCCACUCUUCCCGUGCUCUUCCCCUCCCCAGCCUACCCCCACUGUGUACUACUACUGCUGGUGAUGUCAGUCCUUGUGUGAGGUGAAUUCUCACCACUUCUUUAACCAUGAAGACAGCACUGUUUCUUCUUCAUUUCCUUCACCUAAGUUACCUUUGUGCCCAAUACAACUUUUUUACACCCUCAAAAAUGUCACCUCCUCAUGAGAGUUGACACAGUCACUAGUACUCUGAUAAUUUAAGAAAUUGAGACAGCAAAAGUAUUCAACAAAGGUAAUUCUUCCAUGUUUGCCAAAAUCUGAAUAAAUCCUAGUCAGAUAAAUGUAUAAUACUGUAUUAAUUUACAUUUUCUGUACCAUUUCAGAAACACUUUACAUAAACAGGGAGCCAAGGCUAGUUUUUUCAGAGCAGUGAGUGCAGUCAUUGUGUUUUCUGUGACAUCUGUGCCAGCAUGCCUGUAGAUUUUCUCUCCUGAAUUGUCACUAGGUCAGCCGGCAGCUGUGGGGUUAAACUUGUGCGCCCUCUGCUGGCUGUAGUGGAGAAAGCAGCAGAAAUGAGACGCAGCUCUGUGUGGAGGCUGGUACCCAUUGCAUCCCGAGCUAAAGUGUUAAUGUGUGCAGUGUGGGAGUUGGGGGUGACUCUCGUAAUAGGUGACUAGGAAAGGUUUGGGCUCAUCUAGUCCUUCCAAAGUACAGAUGUCUUGAUCUCUCUAGAGGCUCACUUUGUCGGGGUGGUCCGGGUAGAAGCAGCUUCUGUCACCUUGCUCCGUGCAGUGGUCAGACACUUGUUGUGCUGGCCAGAGCCUCUUGUUCAGCAGUGCCUUGCCAACUCACUCGAAGUUGGGCUAGAAUAUCAUGUUGGGUAGGGCCUUGGACUCUGGCAAGGAGUGAACCAUCAAACGUCCAAAUCUGCCUUCCUCUCUGGGCCUCAGUAGUAGUGAGCUUUCCAUGCCUGGAGCUGCUGCCUGGGGACUGAGUCCCUUCCCUGCUCUGCAGGCUCAGAUAGCCAUAUGACUCUUAAUAGGGCUCAGAUGCAGGAGAGGCAGCAGGAACCAGCAGAGCCUCCAUCUAGUGGGGGAGAGGUCGCUCAUGCAGCAGGCAGUGCCCCGAAAGCAGCCACCUUGAUCGCUUCACAACACGUUUCAGUUCUGUUUUCUUCCUCCUAACUCCCUCUGGAGGUGUGGAUGCCUUAAUGUGCAAACACACUUGAACACAUUGGUGAUACUUGAGCUGCUGCCACGAUUACAAGUGGAAUUAUGGGCUACCAAAGAAGCAAUUGAUGAAAAAGCAUGGGCUAUCCUUCCUCAUGACCAAAGCAAUCUUAUUUGGGAUUAGAGUUCCUUUCCCCCAGAAUCUAGAUGCAUCCCCCCUCCCCAGUUCCCAGUGUUGUCAGUCUCCGAGUCAGCAGGGCAGUGAUGUCCGUUUGAUUCCGCUUUCCUGUGUGUGCUAUUGCCAGCUUGGUUCUUACAGGCAGACUUUCUGGCCUGAAAAUGCCAACGGUUGGAAUGGCACUACCCACUGAGCCAAGUCAACCUGUUCUGGGGAUCUGGGUCAUUAGAAGAAAGGGAGGGUCUGUUCUUUUAGAAAGGGGAAAAUAGAUUUGUUUAAAUCAGUCUGUCACCACUGGCUGGUUUUAUUUUUCAAGAAUUAGAGCUAGGAGGAACAUAGCAGUGACAGAGCGUGUUAAGCCUUGACCCUCAUGCUAGUGAGGUUCUGAACAUGGGACUGUAUGUCAAUAGCACAAGCCUCUAAAACACCCUUACCUUUUGGGCCAGAGCCCCAGACUACUGGGGCUCACACAGUCAUCGGGCAAGAGUCCUGGAGGCAGACUUGUGUUCAGUGCAGAGUGGGACGCACCCCUGAAGAGCACUGGCUGAGAUACUACACAACUCAGCCUUUUUAACUCGAGACAUCGAAGUUCAGCUCGGGAGAGCUGAGGGUGGGGGCUGGUGGGAAAGGACUGGCAGACAGUAGGACUUCCUUACAUGUGCUCAGCCCUCACAGAGCCAAGCACAGAGACUGGCUUUGCUCUGUCUGCCGUGUCUUCCCGAAAACUGGGACUCUAAUGGUAACACCAUGAUUCCCCUGGUUUGGUGGCCUAAACGGUGAUUUUAAAUGUCUCCUUUUCUGGAUUCUUUGUAUACAUAAACUCAUUCCAUGGAUGGCUGCCUUAUAAUUUUGUGUCUUUCCACUUUAAUUGUGAAUGGUUUAAAAAUUGCUGUUUCCGAUUUGUUUUAUGAUAUUAAAUUUUUAUUAGUGCAUACCUU
This 2439-nucleotide long non-coding RNA is filed under the name Rattus norvegicus (Norway rat). Its description in RNAcentral is "long non-coding RNA NONRATT024441". Lineage: Eukaryota; Metazoa; Chordata; Mammalia; Rodentia; Muridae. The record is from RNAcentral.